GAUGAACGCUGGCGGCGUGCCUAAUACAUGCAAGUCGAGCGAACAGAUGAGGAGCUUGCUCCUCUGACGUUAGCGGCGGACGGGUGAGUAACACGUGGAUAACCUACCUAUAAGACUGGGAUAACUUCGGGAAACAGGAGCUAAUACCGGAUAAUAUAUUGAACCGCAUGGUUCAAUAGUGAGAGACGGUUUUGCUGUCACUUAUAGAUGGAUCCUCGCCGCAUUAGCUAGUUGGUAAGGUAACGGCUUACCAAGGCAACGAUGCGUAGCCGACCUGAGAGGGUGAUCGGCCACACUGGAACUGAGACACGGUCCAGACUCCUACGGGAGGCAGCAGUAGGGAAUCUUCCGCAAUGGGCGAAAGCCUGACGGAGCAACGCCGCGUGAGUGAUGAAGGUCUUCGGAUCGUAAAACUCUGUUAUUAGGGAAGAACAAAUGUGUAAGUAACUAUGCACGUCUUGACGGUACCUAAUCAGAAAGCCACGGCUAACUACGUG
RNAcentral lists this ribosomal RNA (497 nucleotides) under uncultured bacterium. RNAcentral's name for it is "partial 16S ribosomal RNA". It matches the Rfam family "Bacterial small subunit ribosomal RNA", at positions 28 to 507 of the family's 1533-position model. The record is from RNAcentral.